This 888-nucleotide ribosomal RNA is filed under the name Triticum aestivum (bread wheat). RNAcentral's name for it is "partial small subunit ribosomal RNA". The record is from RNAcentral. Lineage: Eukaryota; Viridiplantae; Streptophyta; Magnoliopsida; Poales; Poaceae.
AUGGCGUCGAGCAGGACAGCAGCGAUGCUGGUCCUCAUGGCCGCGGUGCUGUGCCCUGCAGCCUUGUGUAAGCCGUCGGCGGCGUUCAUCUCGAUGCCCACCGACCACGUCGGUGGCCGUAUUCCUCCUGUCUCCCCAGCCGAAGGGCUCGCCUUCAACUUCCAUUCCGACUCCUGCCCGCAGCUGCAGGAUGUGGUACGCUCCGCCGUGCAGACUGCGCUCCAGAGCGAGAUCGCCCUCGCCGCCGGCCUCCUCCGCAUCUUCUUCCACGACUGCUUCCCUCAGGGCUGUGAUGCGUCGGUCCUUCUAACAGGAGACGGGCGCUGCAGCUCAUCGAGUCCAUCCGUGCCCAGGUGCAUGCCGCCUGCGGGCCCGUCGUCUCAUGCGCAGACAUCACCGCCCUUGCUACCCGUGAUGCCGUGGCCUUCUCCGGGGGUCAGGGCUACGACGUGCCGCUCGGCAGGCUCGACAGCCUCGCGCCGGCCCCAAGCUCGGCCGUCUUCGAUCUCCCUCAGGCCAGCUCCAACGCCGCCACGCUCAUCGACGUCUUCCAGACCCGCAACCUCGACAACGUCGACCUCGUCGCGCUCUCCGGCGGCCACACCAUCGGGAAGGGCCACUGCAGCUCCUUCUCCAACCGCUUCUCCGAGGACUCCGACUUCGUCCGCAGCCUCGCCUCCAACUGCUCCAGCGACUUUAACCGGUUGCAGGACCUCGAUGUCACCACCCCGGACGUGUUCGACAUCAAGUACUUCACCAACCUGCAACAGGGCAAGGGGGUCUUCACCUCCGACCAGAAGCUCACAGCCGACUGGCGCACCGAAUGGGUGGUCAACGGCUUCGCCGGGAACCACUGGUGGUUCUUCGGCCAGUUUGCCGCCUCCAUGA